CUUGGUGUCUUUAGAGGGUGGGGUACACCUGUUCCCAUCCCGAACACAGCAGUUAAGCCACCCAUCGCCGAUGGUACUUGAGUCUAAGCUCUGGGAGAGUAGGUCGACGCCAAGA
RNAcentral lists this ribosomal RNA (115 nucleotides) under Candidatus Peregrinibacteria bacterium. Lineage: Bacteria; Candidatus Peregrinibacteriota. The record is from RNAcentral.